GUGAAGUACUGACAAAAUGCUCGUGUCACAGUAAGUCUGCUUGCUCGCUGACUUAUCUCCAUAGGCGCACCACUGCUCUUAUAGACGCUGUCCCGAUCACAUCUAGAAAACCAAGAAAUCCUUUUAACACGAAGGAGGGAAAGUGGUUCUCACGAUUCUAUCAUACCAAACAUGAACUCCCGCUUCGUGCUGUUAUUAGCGCUUGUCUGCCUUGCUGCGACCGGUCCAGUGGCUGCCAAUGGGGCUUUGAAUUGCCAACAGCGUUGUUCCGACCAUAAGAGUAUAUGCGACGGGUUCUGUAGAGGUCCAGAGGAAUGCCGAGUAUGUGUACAGGUUCACAGUACGUGCAUGUCCAACUGCUAGCGGACAACUCCGUCAAAGUUAAAAAAAAGUUAACAGCGUGUAACCAGCUAAAAUAUAAUGUCUAUAAACAUACGAAAAGUCAUGGUAGUGUUAUCGUGUAAUCCUUAAACAUAAAAAAACGCGUAAUAAAAUACACUGAAAUGUU
Nematostella vectensis (starlet sea anemone) is the source of this 508-nucleotide long non-coding RNA. RefSeq lists it as uncharacterized. The record is from RefSeq and is a predicted model, not a curated record. Lineage: Eukaryota; Metazoa; Cnidaria; Anthozoa; Actiniaria; Edwardsiidae. The transcript is spliced from 2 exons.